CCUACGGGUGGCUGCAGUGGGGAAUAUUGGACAAUGGGCGAAAGCCUGAUCCAGCCAUGCCGCGUGUGUGAAGAAGGCCUUCGGGUUGUAAAGCACUUUCAGUGGGGAAGAAAGCCUUGGGGCUAAUACCCUCGAGGAAGGACAUCACCCACAGAAGAAGCACCGGCUAACUCCGUGCCAGCAGCCGCGGUAAUACGGAGGGUGCGAGCGUUAAUCGGAAUUACUGGGCGUAAAGCGCGCGUAGGCGGUCUGAUAAGCCGGUUGUGAAAGCCCCGGGCUCAACCUGGGAACGGCAUCCGGAACUGUCAGGCUAGAGUGCAGGAGAGGAAGGUAGAAUUCCCGGUGUAGCGGUGAAAUGCGUAGAGAUCGGGAGGGAUACCAGUGGCGAAGGCGGCCUUCUGGACUGACACUGACGCUGAGGUGCGAAAGCGUGGGUAGCAAACAGGAUUAGAUACCCGAGUAGUC
RNAcentral lists this ribosomal RNA (465 nucleotides) under Vreelandella stevensii. RNAcentral describes it as "partial 16S ribosomal RNA". It matches the Rfam family "Bacterial small subunit ribosomal RNA", at positions 338 to 795 of the family's 1533-position model. The record is from RNAcentral. Lineage: Bacteria; Pseudomonadati; Pseudomonadota; Gammaproteobacteria; Oceanospirillales; Halomonadaceae.